Molecule: long non-coding RNA, 968 nt
Organism: Quercus robur (English oak)
Lineage: Eukaryota; Viridiplantae; Streptophyta; Magnoliopsida; Fagales; Fagaceae
Exons: 5
Source: RefSeq, a predicted model, not a curated record
UUAAAACGUUAAGGAGAUAGAUAUUUCCAAAAGGGGCUCUCUCGCUCUCGCUCCCACUCUCUUUCAUACAUCUCUCUCGGCUCCUCACAGAUUCACCAAGUUGGUACAAUCACAUCCAAAUCUUGUUUGCAACUUUUGGUGCUUUAGUUUUGCUAGAAGUUCCACUCAAUCUCUGAAGAGUGUGUAUUAAUGUCAACCAUUCACUCUGUGGUUAUCCGGGAUUUGUUCUAAAAUAGAGGUCACACAAAGGUCUUGCCUAACAUCAAAAGCAUUAAAGUAAAAAUUGGAUUCUUUGCUCUUCUUUAUGAUUAAAUUACUGUGGUUUUUGUUGCAGUGUUCAUUUGGUGGAAUUGCAAGGUAUAGGUGAACUAUAUGCUAUGAAGGCAAUGGAAAGUCAAUGAUGCUGAACCGUAACAAGGAUUACUAGCCUUAAUCCUUUGGAUUUCCUCCCUGCAAAGUGCAACAAAUAAGUUACAUGUAAACUCAAGGUAUAUGCAUGUUACUAAUCUCUCAAUUUCAAGACCAAAUCCAAUUCCUACCAUCACUCAUAAUCAAGUUAGUCUCUGAGAGGGAGACUCUUCUACAAGUUAUGGAAAUAAUUCACAGUUAAUUAUUGAAUCUUUUGUUAAUUUUCCAUUGCAAGUUGUUGUUGCAAGUGUAUAGAAGAGAAAAAUCAGUUUGUUUUGUAGAGAAAGUAUGAACUUUCAUUCUAUUUUGGCUGGAUACAUCUUCUUGUAGAUACAGUCUGAGCUAUCAGCAGUCUGUCAUGAUGAUGAUUUCCAAAAUUCUUGGUUUGUGCAAAGUAAACAUGUGACUUCCUUUUUACUUUUCUAAAUAUUCUUUGGUUCACUAUGAUGUCAUAUGAAUGAAAUUACUGCUAUAUGUAAUGAUUAGAAUGUAUAGGGAGCUAAUACUAAUACUUUUGCUUUAUGGUGGAUAAAUAAGUUGGGUUAAGUACUUUGGUGUUA